UCCAGGUUAAGACCUUUCCAGAGAAGAAAGCAGUGUUCUCACUGAGGCAGCACCUGUCAAGACUCCCUCCCCCAACAUCUGGGCUUUUCUUCCUGCUGUGCUCCGUAACUGAAUCACCCCUCUUCCUUAUCUUCAGUAGCUAUCUCCUCAUCCUUCAGGUCUUAACUCAGAUGUAUCCUUCCAGGAAAGCCUUCUCUGACUCCCCAGGUUGGUUGGAUAACCUCUUCUGGAUUGUCACAGAUAAGCCUCUAAUUGAUAACAAAUGUCCAAAAACCCAAGUCAAAGUAAUUUUCUUCCCUAGCAAAGCAAGAAAUAUCUUGGCCACCUGAUUAAAAAGUGUGUACUGGUUCAUCUUCAUUCAGGUGAGGUGUGAUCCAGCGGCUCAAACACUGGAAAGCAGUUAUUAUGGGCAAAGGCUCUGCAGUGUGACUGAUUGGAGUUGAAUCCUGACUCUACCACUCACAGGCUGGAUAAUCUUGGAAUGUGAAAUCCAUGAGGGUAGCAUUUUGUCCUCACAACAACAGAUGCACAAUAAAAAUUUGCUAAUUGAAAGAAGAAGUGAAGGAACAACUCGCAGCCCUGUCUGAUGCUCAUUCCAGCUUCAGGACAUUUCUUCUUGCUGUUCCCACUCUGUGGGAACUCUUGGAACAGCUGUCAUAUUUUGGCUUCCGUGUCUCAGCUUGAAGAACAUCGAUGAAUGGUCUUCUGUGGCACAACCAGCUAGGUGUCUGUUGACUGCCUGUCUGGGACUACAUUUCCCAGGGGCCCUUGCAUUCACUUGAGGCCAUGAGACUAGUUCUGUUCAAUGGUUUGAGAGCAGAAGUGAUGUAUGUCACUUUAGGGCCAAAGCUUUAUUUAAAAAAAAUUUUCCCCUGCUUUAUUGAGAUAUAAUUGAUAAAUAAUACUGUAAUAUAUUUAUAGUGUACAACAUGGUGAUCUGGUAUAUGUAUACAUUGUGAACUUAUUACCACCAUCAAGUUAAUGAACAGAUCCAUCACCUCACAUAGUUACCUUUGUUUGGUGAGAAUGCUUAAGAUCUAGUCUCAGCAAAUUUUAAGUACACAAUACAGUAUUGUUAACCACAGUCAGAUUAUACAUUAGAUCUCCAGACCUUAUUCAUCUUAUAACUGAAAGGUUAUAGGCUUUACCAGCCUGUCCCCAAUUCUGCCCUCCACCCCCCACCCCCAGUCCCUGGGAACCACCAUUCCACUCUCUGUUUCUAUGAGUUUG
RNAcentral lists this long non-coding RNA (1230 nucleotides) under Equus asinus (donkey). RNAcentral's name for it is "lncRNA (ENSEASG00005033892.1)". The record is from RNAcentral. Lineage: Eukaryota; Metazoa; Chordata; Mammalia; Perissodactyla; Equidae.